RNAcentral lists this ribosomal RNA (253 nucleotides) under uncultured bacterium. RNAcentral describes it as "partial 16S ribosomal RNA". It matches the Rfam family "Bacterial small subunit ribosomal RNA", at positions 524 to 776 of the family's 1533-position model. The record is from RNAcentral.
UACAGAGGGGGCAAGCGUUGUUCGGAUUUACUGGGCGUAAAGGGCGCGUAGGCGGCGCAACAAGUCACUUGUGAAAUCUCCGGGCUUAACCCGGAGCGGCCAAGUGAUACUGUCGUGCUAGAGUGCGGAAGGGGCUACUGGAAUUCUCGGUGUAGCGGUGAAAUGCGUAGAUAUCGAGAGGAACACCUGCGGCGAAGGCGGGUAGCUGGGCCGACACUGACGCUGAUGCGCGAAAGCCAGGGGAGCGAACGGG